This 421-nucleotide non-coding RNA is filed under the name Homo sapiens (human). Its description in RNAcentral is "Bacterial large subunit ribosomal RNA". It matches the Rfam family "Bacterial large subunit ribosomal RNA", at positions 2049 to 2647 of the family's 2925-position model. Lineage: Eukaryota; Metazoa; Chordata; Mammalia; Primates; Hominidae. The record is from Rfam by way of RNAcentral.
AUCCAUGAAGAGGCGGAUAUAAACAAAUAAGAUGAGAAGAUCCUAUGGAGCUUUAAUUCAUUAAUGCAAAUAAAAACUCAUACAAGCCUACACGCCCUAGCCUCCUAGCCCUGCAUUAAAAAUUUUGGUUGGGGUGAACUUGGAGCAUAAUUCAACCUCCGAACAACCUAAACUAAGACCUCACUAGUCUAAGCGAGUUAAUACACGUUGACUCAAUAAUUUGAUCAAUAGAAUAAGUUACCCUAGGGAUAACAACACAAUCCUAUUCUAGGUCCAUAUCGACAAUAAGGUUUACAACCUCAAUGUUGGAUCAGGACGUCCUAAUGGUGUAGCCGCUAAUAAGGGUUCGUUUGUUCAAUGAUCAAAGUCCUACAUGAUCUGAGUUCAGACCGGAGUAAUCCAGGUCAGUUUCUAUCUAUUU